Molecule: unclassified non-coding RNA, 368 nt
Filed under: soil metagenome
Description: partial contains 5.8S ribosomal RNA, internal transcribed spacer 2, and large subunit ribosomal RNA
Rfam family: 5.8S ribosomal RNA (bases 1-122)
Source: RNAcentral
GAUGAAGAACGCAGCGAAAUGCGAUACUUGGUGUGAAUUGCAGAAUCCCGUGAACCAUCGAGUCUUUGAACGCAAGUUGCGCCCGAAGCCAUUAGGCCGAGGGCACGCCUGCCUGGGCGUCACACGUCGUUGCCCCCCCCAUCUACUCCUUCGGGAUUGCGGGGGGCGGAUGAUGGCCUCCCGUGCGCCUCGCCGCGCGGUUGGUAUAAAUGCCAAGUCCUCGGCGACGCACGCCACGACAAUCGGUGGUUGCGAAACCUCGGUUGCCCGUCGUGUGCGGUCGUCGCGCAUCGAGGGCUCGGCUUUCAACGCGACCCCAGGUCAGGCGGGGUUACCCGCUGAAUUUAAGCAUAUCAAUAAGCGGAGGA